AAAGUUACCUUCGGGAGAUGAGUAGAGUGGCGCAUGGGUGAGUAACACGUAGGUAAUCUACCUUUGGGUGGGGAAUAACGCAGGGAAACUUGCGCUAAUACCGCAUAAUGCAGCGGCACCACAUGGUGACAGUUGUUAAAGCGGGGGAUUUUCGAACCUCGCGCCUAAAGAGGAGCCUGCGGCAGAUUAGCUAGUUGGUAAGGUAACGGCUUACUAAGGCGACGAUCUGUAGCCGGCCUGAGAGGGCGGGCGGCCACACUGACACUGACAUACGGGUCAGACUCCUACGGGAGGCAGCAGUCGGGAAUUUUGGGCAAUGGGCGAAAGCCUGACCCAGCAACGCCGCGUGAAGGAUGAAAUCCUUCGGGAUGUAAACUUCGCAAGAAUGGGAAGAAUUAGUAGGGGUUAAUACCCCCUAUGAUGACGGUACCAUUUGUAAGCUCCGGCUAACUCCGUGCCAGCAGCCGCGGUAAUACGGGGGGAGCAAGCGUUGUUCGGAUUUACUGGGCGUAAAGGGCGCGUAGGCGGUCAGCACAAGUCAGUUGUGAAAUCUCCGGGCUUAACUCGGAAAGGUCAACUGAUACUGUGCGACUAGAGUGCAGAAGGGGCAACUGGAAUUCUCGGUGUAGCGGUGAAAUGCGUAGAUAUCGAGAGGAACACCUGCGGCGAAGGCGGGUUGCUGGGCUGACACUGACGCUGAUGCGCGAAAGCCAGGGGAGCGAACGGGAUUAGAUACCCCGGUAGUCCUGGCCUUAAACGAUGGAUGCUUGGUGUCUGGAGUUUUAUAGUCUCCGGGUGCCGUAGCUAACGCGUUAAGCAUCCCGCCUGGGGAGUACGGUCGCAAGACUGAAACUC
Molecule: ribosomal RNA, 855 nt
Filed under: uncultured Bacillota bacterium
Lineage: Bacteria; Bacillati; Bacillota
Description: bacterial SSU rRNA
Rfam family: Bacterial small subunit ribosomal RNA
Source: RNAcentral